Molecule: long non-coding RNA, 545 nt
Filed under: Bos indicus x Bos taurus (hybrid cattle)
Lineage: Eukaryota; Metazoa; Chordata; Mammalia; Artiodactyla; Bovidae
Description: lncRNA (ENSBIXG00000004510.1)
Source: RNAcentral
CGCGAGCUGGGGGCCCUUCCUGGGGGUGGGCGGAGCCCGGCCCGAGGCUCGUGCCUUCCCGCAGCUCCGGGGAGCUUCGCCGUGUCCCAGCCCCAGCCCAGACCCCGGCUGCAGCGAACACCGGUGGGCCGUGCUGCCCCCCAGCCCGGAGGAUGCGGUUCUCCUGGGGCAGAGAUGGGGCCGGGCCCGUGAAGCCGGGUCCCCAGCAGGCCUGGCCUCCGGCAGCUUCCUGCCCCAGUGUGGCCCCCGCUCGCCUCGACUGGGAGACGACCACAGCGUGGGGUCCCCGGCCGCCCCUCGCAUCCGCCAGGGCCUCCCAGAGCGACACCCGCUCUGGCUACCGGGAAUGCAGGGGAAACGCACACUCAGGACUAAGGAGUGUGGCCCCCACUUUAGAGGAGGAACUGCCCAUACCACUUUCCCCAGAGUCCACGAGACGGUUGCCCAGCUGUGCCGGCCUGCUGCCCAGGCCCCUGCCACCCCCAAGCCCACCCACAGCCCCCUGGGCCUGGAGGGGACCUCAGUUCAGGUGGGUCAGCUGGUGA